UACAGAGGUCCCAAGCGUUGUUCGGAUUCACUGGGCGUAAAGGGUGCGUAGGUGGUCGGGUAAGUCUGAUGUGAAAUCUCCGAGCCUAACUCGGAGACUGCAUCGGAUACUAUUCGGCUUGAGGGUUGGAGGGGGGACUGGAAUACUUGGUGUAGCAGUGAAAUGCGUAGAUAUCAAGUGGAACACCAGUGGCGAAGGCGAGUCCCUGGACAACUCCUGACACUGAGGCACGAAAGCUAGGGGAGCAAACAGG
This 253-nucleotide ribosomal RNA is filed under the name uncultured bacterium. RNAcentral's name for it is "partial 16S ribosomal RNA". It matches the Rfam family "Bacterial small subunit ribosomal RNA", at positions 524 to 776 of the family's 1533-position model. The record is from RNAcentral.